This 1158-nucleotide long non-coding RNA is filed under the name Homo sapiens (human). RNAcentral describes it as "novel transcript". The record is from RNAcentral. Lineage: Eukaryota; Metazoa; Chordata; Mammalia; Primates; Hominidae.
ACCCCGCGGGAGUUGGACCGGUGGCGCUGGUAAGGCCUCCCGGGCUCAAAGUGCAACGGACACUGCAGAAAUCCAAACUGCUGGCAUUCGCGGUUUGGGGACGCCAGAGGAGGUAAUGAUUUCUGGUUUGUUAACCUCAAGUGACAAUAAUGCCGAGCCAGGCAGGAGCUGGACCUACAAUCUUCUGAUGCGUGGUCAGACACGUUAUCCCUUGCGCCACUGGCCUACCACGCUACUCCUUCAGUCGCCGUUGGAUUACUGUGUGUUGAGAACACACUCGGCAACCACUUUAAAGGACAACGCAGGCUGGUAAAGGAAAAGGACUCAUCUGAGGCUAAGCUGCCCAUAGUUCGGGGAGACCCACAGGGAAAACAAAACAAGAAACAGAGAACUUGGAAACGGACGCUGAUUACUUUGAACGUUUGCUCAACCGAGGAAGCAGGAACUGUUCGGCCCCAUCUCAAGUCCGCAGGGCGGACUGCCUGGCUCUGGGCAGAUCCGAGGUGGAUAGGACAAGGCAAAAGGUAGCCCUGGAGAGGUGAGUGGAUAAAGUCCCUGGACACAGGGGCUGCCGUUGGAGGAGGUUGUAAUGUCAUUGUCCUCCUGUGGAAGUUAACUGUGGAGAAUUAACUAGAGACCAGCGCUGAGAGAGAAUUAAUUGGAUAAAAGUUCUAUCUAGGACAGUCCUUGAGCGUAAUUUUGUGAAGCAAACACAAGACAACAACAAAACGAGUAAAACCUAAACACACAUCCACACACUCACUGAAAGAUUCAGAGAUUGCACAGAACACAAAGACUUUUCUGGUAAUAAAAUCUCCCUAUCCUAAUUUUCUAGAAAAAAAGCUGUUGAAGCCACCGCGCAGUUCUUACAAGACAUAACACAAAUCUUCCACACAAAGGCAGAAAUACAGUAUCAACCUUUGUGAGGAGUACAGCAAAUAAAUGAUGUUUCUUUAGGGUCCUAGGCAACCUGUAUGCUUUUGUUACCAGUGUAUACAACAUGGUAUGGUUUAUUGCUAUCUUUCAUUUUCUAGGGUGGUCUCCAUUUUUACCUCGUUUUAUUAUUUUCAAUAGUCUUUUAGUUGAAUGUAUUGUAAAUUACUUGAAAUAUAACAUCAGGAUGUUCAUAAAAACAAAUUCACAAAGUAAGAAAAAGAA